ACAGAGGGUGCAAACGUUGUUCGGAAUUACUGGGCGUAAAGCGUGUGUAGGCGGCUACUCAAGUCGGGUGUGAAAGCCCCGGGCUCAACCCGGGAAGUGCACUCGAUACUGGGCAGCUUGAGUCUUGGAGAGGUUGGUGGAAUUCUCGGUGUAGAGGUGAAAUUCGUAGAUAUCGAGAGGAACAUCGGUGGCGAAGGCGGCCAACUGGACAAAGACUGACGCUGAUGCGCGAAAGCUAGGGGAGCAAACGGGA
Molecule: ribosomal RNA, 253 nt
Filed under: uncultured prokaryote
Description: partial 16S ribosomal RNA
Rfam family: Bacterial small subunit ribosomal RNA
Source: RNAcentral